Molecule: ribosomal RNA, 706 nt
Filed under: alpha proteobacterium SCGC AAA163-O14
Lineage: Bacteria; Pseudomonadati; Pseudomonadota; Alphaproteobacteria
Description: bacterial SSU rRNA
Rfam family: Bacterial small subunit ribosomal RNA
Source: RNAcentral
UACUUAGUGGCAGACGGGUGAGUAACAUGUGGGUAUCUACCCUUUGGCCUGGAAUAACACGAGGAAACUUGUGCUAAUACCGGAUAAGUCUUUACGGAGAAAGCUUUAUGCACCAUUGGAUGAGCCCGCACUUGAUUAGUUUGUUGGUAGGGUAAUGGCCUACCAAGACUAUGAUCAAUAGCUGAUUUGAGAGGAUGAUCAGCCACAUUGGGACUGAGACACGGCCCAAACUCCUACGGGAGGCAGCAGUGGGGAAUCUUGCACAAUGGAGGAAACUCUGAUGCAGCGAUGCCGCGUGAGUGAAGAAGGCCUUUGGGUUGUAAAGCUCUUUCGUCGGGGAAGAAAAUGACUGUACCCGAAUAAGAAGGUCCGGCUAACUUCGUGCCAGCAGCCGCGGUAAUACGAAGGGACCUAGCGUAGUUCGGAAUUACUGGGCUUAAAGAGUUCGUAGGUGGUUGAAAAAGUUGGUGGUGAAAUCCCAGAGCUUAACUCUGGAACUGCCAUCAAAACUUUUUAGCUAGAGUAUGAUAGAGGAAAGCAGAAUUUCUAGUGUAGAGGUGAAAUUCGUAGAUAUUAGAAAGAAUACCAAUUGCGAAGGCAGCUUUCUGGAUCAUUACUGACACUGAGGAACGAAAGCAUGGGUAGCGAAGAGGAUUAGAUACCCUCGUAGUCCAUGCCGUAAACGAUGUGUGUUAGACGUUGGAAA